RNAcentral lists this ribosomal RNA (253 nucleotides) under uncultured bacterium. RNAcentral's name for it is "partial 16S ribosomal RNA". It matches the Rfam family "Bacterial small subunit ribosomal RNA", at positions 524 to 776 of the family's 1533-position model. The record is from RNAcentral.
UACGGAGGGUGCAAGCGUUAAUCGGAAUUACUGGGCGUAAAGGGUGCGUAGGCGGUUUAAUAAGUUAAGUGUGAAAGUCCUGGGCUUAACCUAGGGAAGUCAUUUAAGACUGUUAGACUAGAGUAUGGGAGAGGGUAGUGGAAUUUCCGGUGUAGCGGUGAAAUGCGUAGAGAUCGGAAGGAACACCAGUGGCGAAGGCGGCUACCUGGCCUAAUACUGACGCUGAGGCACGAAAGCAUGGGGAGCAAACAGG